GGAAUUUUCCGCAAUGGGGGAAACCCUGACGCAGCAACGCCGCGUGGGUGAAGAAGGCUUUCGGGUCGUAAAGCCCUGUCAGGUGGGAAGAAACUGCCUGACGGUACCACCAGAGGAAGCACCGGCCAACUCCGUGCCAGCAGCCGCGGUAGUACGGAGGGUGCAAGCGUUGUUCGGAAUUAUUGGGCGUAAAGAGCGUGUAGGCGGCUUGGUAAGUCAGAUGUGAAAGCCCUGGGCUCAACCCAGGAAGUGCAUUUGAAACUACCAGACUUGAGUACGGGAGAGGAGGGGGGAAUUCCCGGUGUAGAGGUGAAAUUCGUAGAUAUCGGGAGGAAUACCGGUGGCGAAGGCGCCCCUCUGGACCGAUACUGACGCUGAGACGCGAAAGCGUGGGGAGCAAACAGGAUUAGAUACCCCAGUAGUC
This 424-nucleotide ribosomal RNA is filed under the name uncultured bacterium. RNAcentral's name for it is "bacterial SSU rRNA". It matches the Rfam family "Bacterial small subunit ribosomal RNA", at positions 358 to 795 of the family's 1533-position model. The record is from RNAcentral.